This is a long non-coding RNA of Asparagus officinalis (garden asparagus), 215 nucleotides long. RefSeq lists it as uncharacterized. Lineage: Eukaryota; Viridiplantae; Streptophyta; Magnoliopsida; Asparagales; Asparagaceae. The record is from RefSeq and is a predicted model, not a curated record. The transcript has 2 exons.
AAAAAAUAAACUGAAGAAAAUUUUGAGUGAUUUUUCCAAGUCCGGAGUCAUUGUUUCUUGGUGUCAAACCAAAGCUUUGAGCAUCUGCGUGUGAGCCCAGAACUAAAGGACACAACCUCCUCAACAUUAGCAAGACAUCCUAAACGAGAGAGUGCCACUGAGAAAUAUGAGGUUAGCUAUAGAGAUAAUAACGGGGAGGAUAUUCUACAUAGAGA